AGUGAACGCUGGCGGUAGGCCUAACACAUGCAAGUCGAACGGCAGCACAGGAGAGCUUGCUCUCUGGGUGGCGAGUGGCGGACGGGUGAGGAAUACAUCGGAAUCUACUCUGUCGUGGGGGAUAACGUAGGGAAACUUACGCUAAUACCGCAUACGACCUACGGGUGAAAGCAGGGGACCUUCGGGCCUUGCGCGAUGGAAUGAGCCGAUGUCGGAUUAGCUAGUUGGCGGGGUAAAGGCCCACCAAGGCGACUAUCCGUAGCUGGUCUGAGAGGAUGAUCAGCCACACUGGAACUGAGACACGGUCCAGACUCCUACGGGAGGCAGCAGUGGGGAAUAUUGGACAAUGGGCGCAGGCCUGAUCCAGCCAUACCGCGUGGGUGAAGAAGGCCUUCGGGUUGUAAAGCCCUUUUGUUGGGAAAGAAAUCCAGCUGGCUAAUACCCGGUUGGGAUGACGGUACCCAAAGAAUAAGCACCGGCUAACUUCGUGCCAGCCGCCGCCGUAA
RNAcentral lists this ribosomal RNA (506 nucleotides) under uncultured bacterium. RNAcentral describes it as "partial 16S ribosomal RNA". It matches the Rfam family "Bacterial small subunit ribosomal RNA", at positions 29 to 523 of the family's 1533-position model. The record is from RNAcentral.